This 548-nucleotide ribosomal RNA is filed under the name Bacillus cereus. Its description in RNAcentral is "bacterial SSU rRNA". It matches the Rfam family "Bacterial small subunit ribosomal RNA", at positions 380 to 918 of the family's 1533-position model. The record is from RNAcentral. Lineage: Bacteria; Bacillati; Bacillota; Bacilli; Caryophanales; Bacillaceae.
AGUCUGACGGAGCACGCCGCGUGAGUGAUGAAGGCUUUCGGGUCGUAAAACUCUGUUGUUAGGGAAGAACAAGUGCUAGUUGAAUAAGCUGGCACCUUGACGGUACCUAACCAGAAAGCCACGGCUAACUACGUGCCAGCAGCCGCGGUAAUACGUAGGUGGCAAGCGUUAUCCGGAAUUAUUGGGCGUAAAGCGCGCGCAGGUGGUUUCUUAAGUCUGAUGUGAAAGCCCACGGCUCAACCGUGGAGGGUCAUUGGAAACUGGGAGACUUGAGUGCAGAAGAGGAAAGUGGAAUUCCAUGUGUAGCGGUGAAAUGCGUAGAGAUAUGGAGGAACACCAGUGGCGAAGGCGACUUUCUGGUCUGUAACUGACACUGAGGCGCGAAAGCGUGGGGAGCAAACAGGAUUAGAUACCCUGGUAGUCCACGCCGUAAACGAUGAGUGCUAAGUGUUAGAGGGUUUCCGCCCUUUAGUGCUGAAGUUAACGCAUUAAGCACUCCGCCUGGGGAGUACGGCCGCAAGGCUGAAACUCAAAUGAUUUUGACGGGG